RNAcentral lists this ribosomal RNA (520 nucleotides) under uncultured Entrophospora. Its description in RNAcentral is "SSU rRNA". It matches the Rfam family "Eukaryotic small subunit ribosomal RNA", at positions 569 to 1084 of the family's 1831-position model. Lineage: Eukaryota; Fungi; Glomeromycota; Glomeromycetes; Entrophosporales; Entrophosporaceae. The record is from RNAcentral.
AGCAGCCGCGGUAAUUCCAGCUCCAAUAGCGUAUAUUAAAGUUGUUGCAGUUAAAAAGCUCGUAGUUGAAUUUCGGGAUUGGCCCAUCGGUCGUGCCUUACGGGGUAUGAACUGGUGCAGUCAAUUUCUCACCUUCUGGAGAACCGCGAUGUCCUUAAUUGGGUGCCGCGGGGAACCAGGACCUUUACUUUGAAAAAAUUAGAGUGUUUAAAGCAGGCAUUUUUGCUUGAAUACAUUAGCAUGGAAUAAUAAAAUAGGACGGCAUGGUUCUAUUUUGUUGGUUUCUAGGACCACCGUAAUGAUUAAUAGGGAUAGUUGGGGGCAUUAGUAUUCAAUUGUCAGAGGUGAAAUUCUUGGAUUUAUUGAAGACUAACUACUGCGAAAGCAUUUGCCAAGGAUGUUUUCAUUAAUCAAGAACGAAAGUUAGGGGAUCGAAGACGAUCAGAUACCGUCGUAGUCUUAACCAUAAACUAUGCCGACUAGGGAUCGGAUGAUGUUAAUUUUUAAUGACUCAUUCGGC